This 226-nucleotide long non-coding RNA is filed under the name Pan troglodytes (chimpanzee). Its description in RNAcentral is "long non-coding RNA NONPTRT003286". The record is from RNAcentral. Lineage: Eukaryota; Metazoa; Chordata; Mammalia; Primates; Hominidae.
GGGGUAAGGAGACCAGCAAGGGAUAUUGAGGCACCCAGGGCUAAACUUAGAGGGAAGCUGUCAUCACCCUAGGGCCUGAGGAGGAAGGGGAGAAAAUACUGUUUGGGGGGCCUGGUGGGAGCUGUAGCUGGGAGGAGGACCAUGAGGGAGAAACCAUAGUCAUGGAAGGAUGUUGUCACUGCCAGGACCAAGGCACCAAGGACCACCCACCGCCCCAUUCUUGUAU